Molecule: non-coding RNA, 72 nt
Organism: Bos taurus (domestic cattle)
Lineage: Eukaryota; Metazoa; Chordata; Mammalia; Artiodactyla; Bovidae
Source: Rfam
UCCCUGAUAGCUCAGUUGGUAAAGAAUCUGCCUGCAAUGCAGGAGGCCCCGGUUCAAUUCCUGGGUUGGGAA